AAUUUUUGACAAUGGGGGAAACCCUGAUCCAGCCAUCCCGCGUGUAUGAUGAAGGCCNNNGGGUUNUCAAGUACUUUUGGCAGNGACNAAAAGGUAACUCCUAAUACGAGGUACUGCUGACGUUAUUUGCAUACCAAGCACCGGCUAACUACGUGCCAGCAGCCGCGGUAAUACGUAGGGUGCAAGCGUUAAUCGGAAUUACUGGGAGUAAAGCGUGUGUAGGCGGUUCGGAAAGAAAGAUGUGACAUCCCAGGGCUCAACCUUGGAACUGCAUUUUUAAAAGCCGAGCUAGAGUAUGUCAGAGGGGGGUAGAAUUACACGUGUAGCAGUGAAAUGCGUAGAUAUGUGGAGGAAUACCGAUGGCGAAGGCAGCCCCCUGGGAUAAUACCGACGCUCAGACACGAAAGCGUGGGGAGCAAACAG
Molecule: ribosomal RNA, 423 nt
Filed under: uncultured bacterium
Lineage: Bacteria
Description: partial 16S ribosomal RNA
Rfam family: Bacterial small subunit ribosomal RNA
Source: RNAcentral